RNAcentral lists this ribosomal RNA (500 nucleotides) under uncultured bacterium. RNAcentral's name for it is "partial 16S ribosomal RNA". It matches the Rfam family "Bacterial small subunit ribosomal RNA", at positions 30 to 523 of the family's 1533-position model. The record is from RNAcentral.
AUUGAACGCUGGCGGCAUGCCUUACACAUGCAAGUCGAACGGCAGCACGGGAGCAAUCCUGGUGGCGAGUGGCGAACGGGUGAGUAAAGUAUCGGAACGUGCCCAGUCGUGGGGGAUAACGUAGCGAAAGCUACGCUAAUACCGCAUACGAUCUAUGGACGAAAGCGGGGGAUCGUAAGACCUCGCGCGAUUGGAGCGGCCGAUAUCAGAUUAGGUAGUUGGUGGGGUAAAGGCCCACCAAGCCGACGAUCUGUAGCUGGUCUGAGAGGACGACAAGCCACACUGGGACUGAGACACGGCCCAGACUCCUACGGGAGGCAGCAGUGGGGAAUUUUGGACAAUGGGCGCAAGCCUGAUCCAGCAAUGCCGCGUGCAGGAUGAAGGCCUUCGGGUUGUAAACUGCUUUUGUACGGAGCGAAAAGGCUCUCACUAAUACUGGGGGCUCAUGACGGUACCGUAAGAAUAAGCACCGGCUAACUACGUGCCAGCCGCCGCUGUAA